GACGAACGCUGGCGGCGUGCUUAAUACAUGCAAGUCGAACGGUAAGGCCCUUCGGGGUACACGAGUGGCGAACGGGUGAGUAACACGUGGGUGAUCUGCCCUGCACUUCGGGAUAAGCCUGGGAAACUGGGUCUAAUACCGGAUAGGACCACUGCCUGCAUGGGUGGUGGUGGAAAGCUUUUGCGGUGUGGGAUGGGCCCGCGGCCUACCAGCUUGUGGGUGGGGUGAUGGCCUGCCAAGGCGACGACGGGUAGCCGGCCUGAGAGGGUGACCUGCCACACUGGGACUGAGAGACGGCCCAGACGCCUACGGGAGGCAGCAGUGGGGAAUGUUGCACAAUGGGCGCAAGCCUGAUGCAGCGACGCCGCGUGAGGGAUGACGGCCUUCGGGUUGUAAACCCCUUUCAGCAUCGACGAAGCGAAAGUGACGGUAGGUGCAGAAGAAGGACCGGCCAACUACGUGCCAGCCGCCGCCGUAA
RNAcentral lists this ribosomal RNA (478 nucleotides) under uncultured bacterium. RNAcentral describes it as "partial 16S ribosomal RNA". It matches the Rfam family "Bacterial small subunit ribosomal RNA", at positions 28 to 523 of the family's 1533-position model. The record is from RNAcentral.